CUGACAGUCAUAGGAGGAGAGAAACCCUCAGAUGCAUCACCUUCAGCACUUCCACUGAAAAUCCUUACAGAAAGAAUGAACCCCAUAGGCGUAAACCCAAGCUUCUAGCACAGCUGCACCUGGAAACACAGCACAGCUGUCAGCUGGGGAAGAACGGAGAUUUUCAGUUUGCAAAGGAAACUGAGUCACACACUCUUUUCUACUUUGAUACAACACACUUGACAGCUGAUGGACAUGCAAAGAGAGAAGCACGGCUUUGCAGUUUUGUCGUGUGAUGUGUUACCUCUCCACAGA
Long non-coding RNA from Ficedula albicollis (Collared flycatcher), 294 nucleotides. RefSeq lists it as uncharacterized. The transcript has 3 exons. The record is from RefSeq and is a predicted model, not a curated record. Lineage: Eukaryota; Metazoa; Chordata; Aves; Passeriformes; Muscicapidae.